This 352-nucleotide long non-coding RNA is filed under the name Zea mays. RNAcentral's name for it is "long non-coding RNA (ZMAY_LNC004517)". Lineage: Eukaryota; Viridiplantae; Streptophyta; Magnoliopsida; Poales; Poaceae. The record is from RNAcentral.
UCUGUCUCUCGGAGGAGCAAACGGCUCAUGAUCCAUCGUCUCUUCUUCUUCUUUGGGAUCCAUGACACUCUUGGGUGGUGAUGGAUGCAUGGCCAGAGUAAAUUAUUGGAAUGUCAAUUCUUGGAGACAUAUACCUACAUGCAUAUAUACAUGUGAACAUAGACCCUCUCCCAAACCAAAUGUACAUAGCAUAUUCGUCUUCGCAAGAACAUUUCAGCUAGAUUCCUAGAAUGGUGCCUGUCCACCCAAUUUUGAGUCUGGCUCACUGACCACGUAUGUUUAUUUUUGUUUUUGGCUAAUUAAGCUCGAUCUGAGUGGUAUCAUUUGAAGUGUAUCCAUGGUUAAAUUACAA